RNAcentral lists this ribosomal RNA (497 nucleotides) under uncultured bacterium. RNAcentral's name for it is "partial 16S ribosomal RNA". It matches the Rfam family "Bacterial small subunit ribosomal RNA", at positions 28 to 507 of the family's 1533-position model. The record is from RNAcentral.
GAUGAACGCUGGCGGCGUGCCUAAUACAUGCAAGUCGAGCGAACAGACGAGGAGCUUGCUCCUCUGACGUUAGCGGCGGACGGGUGAGUAACACGUGGAUAACCUACCUAUAAGACUGGGAUAACUUCGGGAAACCGGAGCUAAUACCGGAUAAUAUAUUGAACCGCAUGGUUCAAUAGUGAAAGACGGUUUUGCUGUCACUUAUAGAUGGAUCCGCGCCGCAUUAGCUAGUUGGUAAGGUAACGGCUUACCAAGGCAACGAUGCGUAGCCGACCUGAGAGGGUGAUCGGCCACACUGGAACUGAGACACGGGCCCGACUCCCACGGGAGGCAGCAGUAGGGAAUCUUCCGCAAUGGGCGAAAGCCUGACGGAGCAACGCCGCGUGAGUGAUGAAGGUCUUCGGAUCGUAAAACUCUGUUAUUAGGGAAGAACAAAUGUGUAAGUAACUAUGCACGUCUUGACGGUACCUAAUCAGAAAGCCACGGCUAACUACGUG